Molecule: ribosomal RNA, 257 nt
Filed under: uncultured bacterium
Lineage: Bacteria
Description: partial 16S ribosomal RNA
Rfam family: Bacterial small subunit ribosomal RNA
Source: RNAcentral
UACAGAGGUGGCAAGCGUUGUUCGGAAUUACUGGGCGUAAAGCGUGCGUAGGCGGUCCGCGAAGUCUGAUGUGAAAGCCCCGGGCUCAACCUGGGAACUGCAUUGGAAACUAACGGGCUCGAGUGUGGCAGAGGGGGGGUGGGAAUUCCAACGUGUAGCAGUGAAAUGCGUAGAGAUGUGGAGGAACACCGAUGGCGAAGGCAGCCCCCCUGGGCUAACACUGACGCUCAGGCACGAAAGCGUGGGGAGCAAACAGG